ACGGACAGCGCGGGGCUGACGGCCCUUCCGCUCUGCCCCGCCGCCGGGCCCGGCACCUGGGCCCCGCCAUGCCGCCGGGGCUCCUCCGUACCUGCCCGGUGGUAAGUUCCGCGCUCUCCUUACCGUGGGGAGAGGGAUACUGAGAAGCUGUCAAGGCAGAAGGAUGCUCAUAUGACAACACAUUUUGUCUUGGGAAAGCAACUUCAGGAGAGAAGGAAACAUUCGGGUGGUGAAAGGUCCCUCUCCCAUCACUGAAUUAUAGCCAUUGUGCCCAUCCCAUCAAAACCAUCAUGUUACAGACUUUGCCCCACUAGCCAGACUCUGGGACCAGGCCCAGAUGGAGGGUACCCCCAUCGUCUAGCAGUGACUGACUGAAGUGUGGCCUGAUCUCUGCUGCUCCUGCACCCACAGCCGUCGGGCUUACCCCUCUGUCUUCUAGCUGUCCUCUUGAAGUGUGGCUUCUCAUUUGAAACAGAGAAGCAGCUAGGCAGCUUCUCUCAAGUCAAUGUGAUGUAUGUUUAGAAUAAACCUUGCUCGAUGAGUGUCUGGGGUGGAGGAAGGGCUCUGAGCUUCACUGUGCUGGGAAUUUUCCACUUUAAUUUCAGUCACAGAAACUAGUUGUUUCCAGUGUGGAAAGCGCUCCAGGCUUCUGCAUGAUUAAACUCAUCUGCAGCGUUUGGAAUGGGACAUUGCAGUGACAGUGAGACGGGGACUUUCUGCUGGGUCAUGACAAGGCUGCAGGCAUUGUAAUUUAGAAUCAUAGAAUCUCAGAAUGGUUUGGUGAGUAUUCAUACACCAAAGGCUUAUGUCUUCCUCUCUCUCCUUCCCCAUCUCCCUCUGAGCUUGAAGAUAAUCCUGGGCUAAGGGCAACAUUUAUGUUUAACACUCCCCUGUACGUUUGAGGCAGACACACAAUUUUGAGCAUAACUAGUGAGCUAUGAAAGACGCAUUUAAGCAUUAUCAUUCAUCCAUCUUAUGGUGGCAUCUGCUUGAAAGAAGGUGAAUCUCAUGUUGAUAGUGAUGAUGAUGACCUUAUUUGCUGUAAUGCAAAACCACAGGAAACAAGAUCAAUACACUUUAAAGUAACAGAGUGGCUCUCAUUGAUAGCUAGUUUCAGUUUCUUCACCCUUCUCUCUGCCAGUCCCAGAAUUACGGUUUUAAUGUCAUGCUUUCCCUCCUUCUCUAGUAUCAAUAUUGUACUUGAAUAAGAUUAUUCACAACCAAACAAGGACUUCUCUGUUAAUAGUCUCUGUCCUUGAAGCCCUCUUUUACCUUUCAAGUCCUUCAAUACUAUAGAAGUCCUGUAGUCUUUUCUAAGAUCCAGUCAGCCUCUCACAGCAUUAAAGGAAUCUCUGAUUUCUUCUCCUCUUCCUUCAGGUCAUUAUGUUUGUCUGCUGGCAAGAAUGCAAUACCUGAAAGCCAUUCCACCAAUCUAUGGAGCAAGAUUUCCUUCCAGGUGAUCACAAUGUAUGGGAAGAACAAGUCCUCUCAGACAAACUAGCAUGUUAAAGCCAUCAAGGUGGUCUCCUGUGCCCAGCCAUGGGCAGAGCUCAGCUUUCCCUGGGCUGCCAGUGGGUGUGGAAGCUGCCUGGUGCUGGCAUGCCUGGAAUUUCAUGCGCAGUACUGGGCACUUGCACAGUCAAGCCCAGAUUUCCAGGUGUUUUCUUUCUGGGCUUAAUUCCACCACCAUACACCAGAGCAAGUAACAUCUUAUUCAGCAGGGAGUUUCACUCAGUCUUAGUCAUGAAGAUGGAAUUGGUCCUACAACAACAACAGUAAUUAUGCUUUACCUGCGUCCUUUCCAAAACUCCCUACAUGGCCUCUCCAUCACAAAAGCAAACAGAAGCUCCCAGAAAGCAGCAGCAAGUUCAGAGAGAUCUGGCUCCUCACCAGUCUGAAUUUUGCCAGGUGUUUCUUGCUCCAAGAGUUUGAGCUAUAGCUCGAGCUAUAUCGUAUCCUUUCUAGUACUGAAUUUCUGGGAAGACACCAACUAUUUUAUGCAAUGGGGAACUAAACAAACACUUUUAAAAUAAAA
This is a long non-coding RNA of Pezoporus occidentalis (night parrot), 2035 nucleotides long. RefSeq lists it as uncharacterized. The record is from RefSeq and is a predicted model, not a curated record. Lineage: Eukaryota; Metazoa; Chordata; Aves; Psittaciformes; Psittacidae. The transcript has 3 exons.